This 349-nucleotide ribosomal RNA is filed under the name uncultured bacterium. Its description in RNAcentral is "bacterial SSU rRNA". It matches the Rfam family "Bacterial small subunit ribosomal RNA", at positions 28 to 378 of the family's 1533-position model. The record is from RNAcentral.
GACGAACGCUGGCGGCGUGCUUAACACAUGCAAGUCGAGCGGAAAGGCUCCUUCGGGGGUACUCGAGCGGCGAACGGGUGAGUAACACGUGAGUAAUCUGCCCUUGGCUUUGGGAUAAGCCCCGGAAACGGGGUCUAAUACCGGAUACGACGCACUCUCGCAUGGGAUGUGUGUGGAAAGUUUUUUCGGCCAGGGAUGUGCUCGCGGCCUAUCAGCUUGUUGGUGGGGUAAUGGCCUACCAAGGCUUCGACGGGUAGCCGGCCUGAGAGGGUGACCGGCCACACUGGGACUGAGACACGGCCCAGACUCCUACGGGAGGCAGCAGUGGGGAAUAUUGGACAAUGGGCGG